GUCAGUUCAAUCCCCAUAGAAAAGCUUUUGCAUUCCCCCUCCCCCCUCACCGGGUGACACUGGAAGAUGCAGAGUGCCAACCCAACCACAGAGGGGCAUCGGCACUGGGAUUGGUUAAGUAAAUAACUGACGGAUUUGGAGGGGAAGCAAGGGAGAGGAGAGUUAGAGGGAACUAUGGUGCUAAGAAUGCACAUUUAUAUUCCUAGCACUAUAGUAUAAGUUGGCAUAAAAAAGGACCUGACAAAAAUGGUGCAGAUUGGCAUUGUG
Molecule: non-coding RNA, 267 nt
Organism: Pelobates cultripes (western spadefoot toad)
Lineage: Eukaryota; Metazoa; Chordata; Amphibia; Anura; Pelobatidae
Source: the annotation of a GenBank genome assembly